This 234-nucleotide ribosomal RNA is filed under the name uncultured bacterium. RNAcentral's name for it is "partial 16S ribosomal RNA". It matches the Rfam family "Bacterial small subunit ribosomal RNA", at positions 118 to 347 of the family's 1533-position model. The record is from RNAcentral.
UGAGGAACAUGACCUUCGGCGGGGGAUAGCCGGCCCAACGGCCGGGUAAUACCGCGUACGACCACAUGGGGACAUCCCUGAGUGGUGAAAGCAGCAAUGCGCCGAUGGAGUGCCUCGCGGCCUAUCAGCUAGUUGGUGGGGUAAUGGCUCACCAAGGCGACGACGGGUAGCUGGUCUGAGAGGGUGACCGGCCACACUGGGACUGAGACACGGCCCAGACUCCUACGGGAGCAG